AAAUGGCUAUGACUAAUAUCUUUCUAUUUUUGUAUAUAGCUAUUUUUAUGUGCUUUGUGUUUCUGCUUUGCUUAUUCCAAUGGCAAGUCACACUACACUCCUGUCUUACAUUGUUGCUCUAUCUGCAAGAUAUUUGUCAUGGCUGACGACAGUGCAGUCUGAUUGGCACCCAUGCCAGUGGAACGUUAAAAGCACUAUUUGAGCGUAAUCGUUGCCAGGGCCACUGACUGGUUCCUUUGCAAAUUAACUGCAGUGAACUUUGUGAAUAUAUCUGCUGUAUAAUUAAUGUUUCAUGACUCAUCUCAAAGAACAGGAUAAGAGUCUUGCAAGAAUUCAACAAUUUUUUU
Long non-coding RNA from Octopus sinensis (East Asian common octopus), 347 nucleotides. RefSeq lists it as uncharacterized. The record is from RefSeq and is a predicted model, not a curated record. The transcript is spliced from 2 exons. Lineage: Eukaryota; Metazoa; Mollusca; Cephalopoda; Octopoda; Octopodidae.